AGGGUUCGAUUCUGGCUCAGGAUGAACGCUGGCGGCGUGCUUAACACAUGCAAGUCGAACGGGAUCCAUCAAGCUUGCUUGGUGGUGAGAGUGGCGAACGGGUGAGUAAUGCGUGACCGACCUGCCCCAUGCUCCGGAAUAGCUCCUGGAAACGGGUGGUAAUGCCGGAUGUUCCACAUGAUCGCAUGUGAUUGUGGGAAAGAUUCUAUCGGCGUGGGAUGGGGUCGCGUCCUAUCAGCUUGUUGGUGAGGUAACGGCUCACCAAGGCUUCGACGGGUAGCCGGCCUGAGAGGGCGACCGGCCACAUUGGGACUGAGAUACGGCCCAGACUCCUACGGGAGGCAGCAGUGGGGAAUAUUGCACAAUGGGCGCAAGCCUGAUGCAGCGACGCCGCGUGAGGGAUGGAGGCCUUCGGGUUGUAAACCUCUUUUGUUUGGGAGCAAGCCUUCGGGUGAGUGUACCUUUCGAAUAAGCGCCGGCUAACUACGUGCCAGCAGCCGCGGUAAUACGUAGGGCGCAAGCGUUAUCCGGAUUUAUUGGGCGUAAAGGGCUCGUAGGCGGCUCGUCGCGUCCGGUGUGAAAGUCCAUCGCUUAACGGUGGAUCUGCGCCGGGUACGGGCGGGCUGGAGUGCGGUAGGGGAGACUGGAAUUCCCGGUGUAACGGUGGAAUGUGUAGAUAUCGGGAAGAACACCGAUGGCGAAGGCAGGUCUCUGGGCCGUCACUGACGCUGAGGAGCGAAAGCGUGGGGAGCGAACAGGAUUAGAUACCCUGGUAGUCCACGCCGUAAACGGUGGACGCUGGAUGUGGGGCACGUUCCACGUGUUCCGUGUCGGAGCUAACGCGUUAAGCGUCCCGCCUGGGGAGUACGGCCGCAAGGCUAAAACUCAA
This 889-nucleotide ribosomal RNA is filed under the name Bifidobacterium bifidum LMG 13195. RNAcentral describes it as "bacterial SSU rRNA". It matches the Rfam family "Bacterial small subunit ribosomal RNA", at positions 8 to 904 of the family's 1533-position model. The record is from RNAcentral. Lineage: Bacteria; Bacillati; Actinomycetota; Actinomycetes; Bifidobacteriales; Bifidobacteriaceae.